RNAcentral lists this ribosomal RNA (279 nucleotides) under uncultured bacterium. RNAcentral describes it as "partial 16S ribosomal RNA". It matches the Rfam family "Bacterial small subunit ribosomal RNA", at positions 506 to 784 of the family's 1533-position model. The record is from RNAcentral.
UGCCAGCCGCCGCGGUAAUACGUAAGUGGCGAGCGUUAUCCGGAAUCACUGGGCGUAAAGCGUUCGUAGGCGGCGCGGAAAGUUGGAAUUGAAAUCCCGGGGCUCAACUCCGGACCCGGUUCCAAAACUUCCGUGCUUGAGCGUAUCAGAGGGCAGCGGAAUUCCCGGUGUAGCGGUAAUAUGCGUAGAUAUCGGGAGGAACACCAGUGGCGAAGGCGGCUGCCUGGGGUAUUGCUGACGCUGAGGAACGAAAGCCAGGGGAGCGAACGGGAUUAGAUA